CCCGCUGAACUUAAGCAUAUCAAUAAGCGGAGGAAAAGAAACUAACAAGGAUUCCCCUAGUAACUGCGAGUGAAGCGGGAAAAGCUCAAAUUUGAAAUCUGGCGUCUCCGGCGUCCGAGUUGUAUUCUGGAGAAGCGUUUUCCGUGCUGGACCGUGUACAAGUCCCUUGGAACAGGGCGUCAUAGAGGGUGAGAAUCCCGUCUUUGACACGGACUGCCAGUGCUCUGCGAUGCGCUCUCGAAGAGUCGAGUUGUUUGGGAAUGCAGCUCAAAACGGGUGGUAAAUUCCAUCUAAAGCUAAAUAUUGGCGAGAGACCGAUAGCGAACAAGUACCGUGAGGGAAAGAUGAAAAGCACUUUGGAAAGAGAGUGAAACAGUACGUGAAAUUGUUGAAAGGGAAACGCUUGUAGUCAGUCGCGUUGCCCAGAAAUCAACCUUGCUUUUGCUUGGUGUACUUUCUGGUUAACGGGUCAGCAUCAAUUUUGACCGGUGGAUAAAGGUCAGGGGAAUGUGGCAUCUUCGGAUGUGUCAUAGCCCUUGGUUGCAUACAUCGAUUGGGAUUGAGGAACUCAGCAUGCCGCAAGGCCGGGUUUUUAACCACGUACAUGCUUAGGAUGCUGGCAUAAUGGCUUUAAUCGACCCGUCUUGAAACACGG
This 655-nucleotide ribosomal RNA is filed under the name uncultured fungus. Its description in RNAcentral is "eukaryotic LSU rRNA". It matches the Rfam family "Eukaryotic large subunit ribosomal RNA", at positions 24 to 664 of the family's 3401-position model. Lineage: Eukaryota; Fungi. The record is from RNAcentral.